RNAcentral lists this long non-coding RNA (632 nucleotides) under Mus spicilegus (steppe mouse). RNAcentral describes it as "lncRNA (ENSMSIG00000001326.1)". Lineage: Eukaryota; Metazoa; Chordata; Mammalia; Rodentia; Muridae. The record is from RNAcentral.
AACACCUCACUGAGUGUGUUCCGGGUUGGUUCUACAAGUAGAGUUUAAAGGGACACCUCGUUAUUUCGCCUCUGUCCUAGAAAUAGACGUACAAAACCAGAAGACAAAAAUAAUCUCCACCCUGGAAGGGUUCUGCACUUGCAAGCAUAGCGCUGAAAUGUCCAUACCUCAAGUUCCGAAGGUCAGGUUGGGAGAAAACAGCGGGCGACAGUGUGCUGUUCCAGAUGACCCAGGCAGUCUUCCAGCUACGCCUUGGAGUCUCCUCACAGACACUGCCAUGCUUUGGAUGUGAAGUGACUCCUGUGUUGUGAAGGCUAGGCCCCCAGCUGAUGGUGCUCUUGAAAGAUGAAUGAGCCAGGAGGACUGCUGAAGGACGAUGGAGAUGAAGAUUCCUGAACAGAGGAGAGAUGCUGAUCAGGAGGACUGUUGAUUCACAGCAGAAUGAGCUUUUCGGUGGGGUCUGGCAGGAGGAAGCAGGUCAGUGGGAAUAUCUUUCUCUUUCUCAUCUGCACUGGUCCUCUGCUCUGUGAUGUGACCUGAGGUGUCUUGACCUGGGACUAAUGCCUCAAGCCAUGAGCCAAAACCAAAUCUUUUCUCUGGUAGUGGAUUUUCUGUGUUCUUUCACAGAAGCC